GUUCCAAACAGACUCUAGUCCAGAAACAACUCCUAGGCCCAGUUCCAAACAGACUCUAGUCCAGAAACAACUCCUAGGCCCAGUGCCAAACAGACUCUAGUCCAGAAACAACUCCUAGGCCCAGUGCCAAACAGACUCUAGAAACUACUCCUAGGCCCAGUGCCAAACAGACUCUAGUCCAGAAACAACUCCUAGGCCCAGUGCCAAACAGACUCUAGUCCAGAAACAACUCCUAGGCCCAGUGCCAAACAGACUCUAGUCCAGAAACAACUCCUAGGCCCAGUGCCAAACAGACUCUAGUCCACAAACAACUCCUAGGCCCAGAGCCAAACAGACUCUAGUCCAGAAACAACUCCUAGGCCCAGUGCCAAACAGACUCUAGUCCACAAACAACUCCUAGGCCCAGUGCCAAACAGACUCUAGUCCACAAACAACUCCUAGGCCCAGUGCCAGAAACACAGAACCAACUGACCUAAAUUAAAUAAAGGCUAAAUACAUUUUAAAAAGCACUGCAAUGGAUGAGAAAGGGUUGAAUCAUUACAUUAGAGAUAGGAGGUAGAGUAGAGGUAGAGUGGAGGUAGAGUAGAGGUAGAGUGGAGGUAGAGUAGAGGUAGAUAGGAGGUAGAUAGGAGGUAGAGUAGAGGUAGAGUGGAGGUAGAGUGGAGGUAGAUAGGAGGUAGAGUAGAGGUAGAGUGGAGGUAGAGUAGAGGUAGAGUAGAGGUAGAGUGGAGGUAGAGUAGAGGUAGAGUGGAGGUAGAUAGGAGGUAGAGUGGAGGUAGAGUGGAGGUAGAGUGGAGGUAGAGUGGAGGUAGAGUGGAGGUAGAGUGGAGGUAGAGUGGAGGUGGAUAGGAGGUGUAGAUUAGAGAGGUAGAGGUGCACAGUAACUCACAUGCUGUUGGAUCAGUCUGGAAACAGCUGGGGGGUUCUGGUGACUCUACUAUAGACA
Long non-coding RNA from Oncorhynchus keta (chum salmon), 946 nucleotides. RefSeq lists it as uncharacterized. The transcript is spliced from 7 exons. NCBI's taxonomy places the organism in Eukaryota, Metazoa, Chordata, Actinopteri, Salmoniformes, Salmonidae. The record is from RefSeq and is a predicted model, not a curated record.